This 441-nucleotide long non-coding RNA is filed under the name Brachypodium distachyon (stiff brome). RNAcentral's name for it is "long non-coding RNA (BDIS_LNC005069)". Lineage: Eukaryota; Viridiplantae; Streptophyta; Magnoliopsida; Poales; Poaceae. The record is from RNAcentral.
GACCGUUAAACAGAAGACUUAAUGAUCUAAAUAAUUCAAAUGAGGUGGAUAAACAUGAUUUUUUUUUCACUUGAGAACCUAUAUUAUGCUUUUUGUUAGCCGUAAACAAUUGAGCAUUGUGUUGUAUAAGUGUGUUUUUUUGUUCCCAUAAAAUGUGCAUAAUUAUGUAUUGGUGUAACAUUUAUCUGAUGUUGCAUAUCAACAUAUGUUACAUAUUAUAUAUUUAUGUGUUUACUCGAUGAAUAAUGACAUGCCAGUGUGUGAAAAUAUGUAGUAUUGCGUACGUGUUGUGAUAGGAACUCAUGAUGCGUUGUGUAUGUUUUUGUGCAAGGGACUCAUGAUGUAUUAUUUUGAUGAUUUUUGCAUUGCGGUCCUACUUCCUAGCAGCAAUAUUUUCUCCAUAUGACUCCAUGGACACUGGAGUAUAUCUGGUUUGGACAU